Molecule: ribosomal RNA, 253 nt
Filed under: uncultured bacterium
Lineage: Bacteria
Description: partial 16S ribosomal RNA
Rfam family: Bacterial small subunit ribosomal RNA
Source: RNAcentral
UACAGAGGAUGCAAGCGUUAUCCGGAAUCACUGGGCAUAAAGCGUCUGUAGGUGGUUCGGUAAGUCUGCUGUUAAAGACUAGGGCCUAACCCUAGAAAAGCAGUGGAAACUGCCAAACUUGAGUGUGGUAGAGGUAGAGGGAAUUCCUAGUGUAGCGGUGAAAUGCGUAGAUAUUAGGAAGAACACCAAUGGCGAAAGCACUCUACUGGGCCACAACUGACACUGAGAGACGACAGCUAGGGGAGCAAAUGGG